UAUACAUGCAGUCGUACGCUUCUUUUUCCACCGGAGCUUGCUCCACCGGAAAAAGAAGAGUGGCGAACGGGUGAGUAACACGUGGGUAACCUGCCCAUCAGAAGGGGAUAACACUUGGAAACAGGUGCUAAUACCGUAUAACAAUCGAAACCGCAUGGUUUUGAUUUGAAAGGCGCUUUCGGGUGUCGCUGAUGGAUGGACCCGCGGUGCAUUAGCUAGUUGGUGAGGUAACGGCUCACCAAGGCCACGAUGCAUAGCCGACCUGAGAGGGUGAUCGGCCACAUUGGGACUGAGACACGGCCCAAACUCCUACGGGAGGCAGCAGUAGGGAAUCUUCGGCAAUGGACGAAAGUCUGACCGAGCAACGCCGCGUGAGUGAAGAAGGUUUUCGGAUCGUAAAACUCUGUUGUUAGAGAAGAACAAGGAUGAGAGUAACUGUUCAUCCCUUGACGGUAUCUAACCAGAAAGCCACGGCUAACUACGUGCCAGCAGCCGCGGUAAUACGUAGGUGGCAAGCGUUGUCCGGAUUUAUUGGGCGUAAAGCGAGCGCAGGCGGUUUCUUAAGUCUGAUGUGAAAGCCCCCGGCUCAACCGGGGAGGGUCAUUGGAAACUGGGAGACUUGAGUGCAGAAGAGGAGAGUGGAAUUCCAUGUGUAGCGGUGAAAUGCGUAGAUAUAUGGAGGAACACCAGUGGCGAAGGCGGCUCUCUGGUCUGUAACUGACGCUGAGGCUCGAAAGCGUGGGGAGCAAACAGGAUUAGAUACCCUGGUAGUCCACGCCGUAAACGAUGAGUGCUAAGUGUUGGGAGGGUUUCCGCCCUUCAGUGCUGCAGCUAACGCAUUAAGCACUCCGCCUGGGGAGUACAACCGCAAGGUUGAA
RNAcentral lists this ribosomal RNA (878 nucleotides) under Enterococcus durans. RNAcentral's name for it is "bacterial SSU rRNA". It matches the Rfam family "Bacterial small subunit ribosomal RNA", at positions 50 to 898 of the family's 1533-position model. The record is from RNAcentral. Lineage: Bacteria; Bacillati; Bacillota; Bacilli; Lactobacillales; Enterococcaceae.